GCCGGUGAGCAGGCUGUCCCCGAUGCAGGUACAGCCCCCCAUCCCCACACCAGGCAGAGCAAAGGCAGACAGCUUUGACCAGAGCAGGGUUCAGGGUGGCAGUGCCAUCAGACGCCUCUGCUGUCUCCCUCAGGUGACUGUUUCUGUAAUGGCUGAGCUGUGUCUGGCUUCAGUCUGAACCAUCAGUUUCCAAACAGUGCUGCCUCUUCCCACCUCCCACACACGAGGUCACAGAGGACCUGCGAAAGCCGGGCUAGCACCUACCUUUCCCCCACUCAGCGCCUGAAUCUCGAUGCUUUGGAUGGUGCCGAGCCAGACUCGCUGGGCUCAUUCUCUCCGUCUCCUGCUGAAUUCUCUGGCUGCUUCUCAGCUGUCAGGGUGCCAAGCUCCAUCCUGACCGUCUCCUGGCUCCAGCCGCAGCAGGAAAUGGGCCUGACCGUUGUUCUUCCACAGCUGAUGAGAAAAGGGUGGAAGACAGCCGCUGGUGUGCUGGAAUUGUGCCUUCGGAUGGAUGUGCCUUGAUCUUUCUUUACCUCUCUUCCCUCGCAGUGCCCUUCUUCUGACUUAAAGCUCAAACCCCCACUGGAAAAGUCCGGGGAGAAGGUCUUAGGCAUCGAGGAAUAGGCUGGCAAACUAACAUCUCUGUCGAUGCUGCCCAAAUCUCUCCACUGCUGUCCACCGUCUGACCCAGGCCCUUGGGUGGGAAAAAGCCAAGACAGGCCUGGAAAGAGGUCUCUCUGAGGAUGUGAAGAGAACACUGGUGAUGUGAUUAAGUAUCUGUUUUCUAUGAGUGUGGCCCCGUGGUGCUUAGACAACAUUUCCAAACAAGAACAACCCAAAUUCACACUUAGGAAGCCUAAAUUAUUGUUUUCCAGGAAAAAACUAACUUUUUUAACUGACACAUUUUAUGGGGUACAGUGGAGUGACUCAGUGUGUGAGAGCAACAAGGACGGUGGAAUGAACAUAGAGAGAUUGUGGCUUCGGACAUUUCGCAUUUCUUCGUCAUGUCAAUAUUCCAAGUCCUCACUGCCAUCUUGAAAUAUAUGUGGUACAAUCACAAUAUAUGGUAAAGUUUAAAUUUUAGAAACGUAUUGCAAUAAAAGACAUCUUGCCGUUAGCCCCCCACCGCAAAAUACUGCCCGCUUUCCCGUCGUUCUUAUCACUUCAUGAAGCAGUUGUGGAAGACUUCUUGCAUAUUUUCCUGAGGUUUGAUGAAAAAUAUGGUGAGUGCUUCUGCCGAGUGCCAUCCAGUGGAAAGGCGGGCUCACAAAGCCACGGUGGGGCCUCAUCUACCUUAUUCAGGAGGUCUGGCAUCACACGGCUCCGGCUCUCCUCCAAAGUCAAAACGACUUUGGCACGUACUUCGAAUCCAUUUAGGACAUGGAGCGGCUACGAUAGUGUAGCUGAAGACACUCACAAAAGAGGCCUUCUAGAGCCGCUUCAGGAAGAACAAUGGGAUAAGUUGGAAGUAAAAAGGAAUAUUUUGAGGGGGGGGUUAAUGACAAUCUGCCUUUUACCAUAGUGGUUUUUAAGAAUUCAAAUAUCCACUAUAUAUAUAUAUUUUUUUUUCUUUU
Molecule: long non-coding RNA, 1574 nt
Organism: Fukomys damarensis (Damara mole-rat)
Lineage: Eukaryota; Metazoa; Chordata; Mammalia; Rodentia; Bathyergidae
Exons: 3
Source: RefSeq, a predicted model, not a curated record